GCACUAACUUCAGCAAGAUGGGAGGUAUUUGCAGUGUCUUGCCUUUGUUUUUUCUGGCCAGCUUUCUCCAAGUGGGAUCCGGGGCCAGGGAGAGAGCAAAGGGGCUGUGAAGAUUCAGAGCUCUUCACCACACCCUGCACUACAUCGCAUCCAUGUUCCUGAGGCACCAAACUGCACUUCUGGUCUCAAGCAAUCGGGACAGUCCAGGUUUUGCCUCGUUGCAGUCUAUUCUGAGGGAAGGCGAUCUCUUAAUCAAAUUAAAUAUGCACAUUGCCCAUUUGUUUUUCGAAAAACGGAUCUUCUGUACUAUAUCCCUGCUGUUAGAGAUAUAAAAACUCUUUGUUUAAAGUAACUCCGCAUCAUUGCUCUUUACAUCUCCUAAAUUAAAGAAAGCCAUAGUGUGGGGACCAAGUUUGGAGAAGAUAUACACCUAGUCUUGGUCAUAUUUAUUUGCUAUAGCACCGGACACGGGAAGGUCAAGGUCUGCAAGUGUAUUCAUGCCUUGGAUAUGCUUGGUUAUACCACCGAGCCCUUGCACUUGUCCUCUGAAUCUCCAGCGAUGUCCAUUUUGUCCACUGGCUCCUGUCAACAGCUUCUGUUGCCACCACCCCAGAGCAGAAGCAGAGAGAAACGAAGAUCCAUUUAAUGGCUGCCAACUUCGUUAUCUGAUUGAUGGCCUUGCUGGCCUGGCUGAGCGCUGCUCUGAAGGUUAGGUUUCCUGAAAGCAGAAGCAACCCCUUCCCAUGACCACUCUGACACGAGCAGAACAAGCAAUUUAUCUGCCUGGCUGCUGAAUGUAUUAAUAUUUGAAGUUAAUUUGUCUGCCUGAAUAAUCUGGUGCCAAAUCAUGUAGCCAUUUAUCAGUUGUAAUGGGAAGAUGCUGCUCUUGUCUGGACGCCUUUAGAGGUAACCAGCAUAACCUCAGCACAUUGACACAGCUGAUUGUGGAAAAUUACAUCGCAAUAUUGUUCUGACUGCUUGGUUACAAAAAGUAUUCAGUAGCUUUAUGUGCAAGGUUGGACUAAAUUAUGUCUGGGUAGCUGAGAUGAAGUGUAACAAAUAAAUAUACAGUUGUCGCAGCA
This 1082-nucleotide long non-coding RNA is filed under the name Anser brachyrhynchus (Pink-footed goose). Its description in RNAcentral is "lncRNA (ENSABRG00000018445.1)". Lineage: Eukaryota; Metazoa; Chordata; Aves; Anseriformes; Anatidae. The record is from RNAcentral.